RNAcentral lists this microRNA (22 nucleotides) under Gallus gallus (chicken). RNAcentral's name for it is "gga-miR-3540". Lineage: Eukaryota; Metazoa; Chordata; Aves; Galliformes; Phasianidae. The record is from miRBase by way of RNAcentral.
AUGGUGGAAGAACAAGGCCUGC